AACGAACGCUGGCGGCAUGCCUAACACAUGCAAGUCGAACGAGACCUUCGGGUCUAGUGGCGCACGGGUGCGUAACGCGUGGGAACCUGCCCUUAGGUUCGGAAUAACUCCCCGAAAGGGGUGCUAAUACCGGAUAAUGUCUUCGGACCAAAGAUUUAUCGCCUUUGGAUGGGCCCGCGUUGGAUUAGCUAGUUGGUAGGGUAAAAGCCUACCAAGGCGACGAUCCAUAGCUGGUCUGAGAGGAUGAUCAGCCACACUGGGACUGAGACACGGCCCAGACUCCGACGGGAGGCAGCAGUGGGGAAUAUUGGACAAUGGGCGAAAGCCUGAUCCAGCAAUGCCGCGUGAGUGAUGAAGGCCGUAGGGUUGUAAAGCUCUUUUACCCGGGAUGAUAAUGACAGUACCGGGAGAAUAAGCUCCGGCUAACUCCGU
RNAcentral lists this ribosomal RNA (432 nucleotides) under uncultured bacterium. RNAcentral describes it as "partial 16S ribosomal RNA". It matches the Rfam family "Bacterial small subunit ribosomal RNA", at positions 29 to 506 of the family's 1533-position model. The record is from RNAcentral.